RNAcentral lists this ribosomal RNA (781 nucleotides) under Balticina finmarchica. Its description in RNAcentral is "partial 28S ribosomal RNA". It matches the Rfam family "Eukaryotic large subunit ribosomal RNA", at positions 402 to 999 of the family's 3401-position model. The record is from RNAcentral. Lineage: Eukaryota; Metazoa; Cnidaria; Anthozoa; Scleralcyonacea; Balticinidae.
AAACCGUUGAAAGGGAAGCGAAUGGAGUCAGCAAUUCACCCAYACCGAUUCAGCCACGUGCGCACCGGUCGCGUGCUCGAUUUCGAUCUUCCUAGACGAAACGUGCACGUUGCAGUCCGGGCAUUCGUGGCGCACUUCGKGUGGGCGAGCGUCAACGCCGGUAGAAWUACGAGUGAGAACGUUGCGAGAAGGGUAGGUCCUCACGGGCUGAUAAGUCUCGYCACCGAAUAACUCGUAGUCCACCGAGGCAGUCGCGACGCGUGCCUCCCACCCACCUGGGCAGGCUGUUGUGGUGUUAGUUGCAAUGGAUGCGCAAUGCGACGGACGGCUUCGCCUGUGCGCUCGUAACGCAAACGUUCAACGGCACGUCUAACAAACAGCACGCGUYGAGGACGUUGRCGAGCAUACGGCUUCAUCCGACCCGUCUUGAAACACGGACCAAGGAGUCUAACAUGUUCGCAAGUCACUGGGUGAUCGAAACCCGUGGGCGCAAUGAAAGUAAAGACAUACUGUCGAGAUGAGAAGCCCUCGGGYCGCAUCAUCGACCGACCUGUUCUACUUGUAGAAAGGUUUGAGUAAGAGCGUACCUGUUGGGACCCGAAAGAUGGUGAACUAUGCCUGAAUAGGGUGAAGCCAGCGGAAACACUGGUGGAAGCUCGUAGCGAUUCUGACGUGCAAAUCGAUCGUCGAAUUUGGGUAUAGCGGCGAAAGACUAAUCGAACCAUCUAGUAGCUGGUUCCCUCCGAAGUUUCCCUUAGGAUAGCUGGAACUCGGAUGCAGU